AUGGGUCAGGAGCUGGGUCUGCCAAGAGAAGCUAUUCAUGCCAAGAGCCAAGCCUCCAGUCUGCUUCUCCCAGAAGCACCACUGCCUUUUAAUUUAACGGUUCUCUGGUGUGCGAGAACCGUUUGGGGCAAAUUUGGCUCCAACCUCAGCACACUGCUUCAGACAGGAGUUGCACGGGGCCAGAGGCUUUUGGCUUCCUGCACUGCUGUUUCCUUUGUUGCUAACUGAUAAAAGGCAGUCUUAGGAGAAGGAAAUAAUAAUUCUGUCUUUAGUCCAGUACCUGGCACACAGUGGACUCCACAGAUAUUUGUGCAAUAAACAGCGGGUAGAGAAACACACGAGUCUCUUACAGCAAGUGUUUAUGUGUUAUCUGAGGAACUUCUGAUAGUCCAGGAGGAUGCUGGGCAGAAGGGAGAGGUUGUGGUAAAGAGACAUUUUCUGCUGCUAUCCAGUAUAUCAACCCCUGCAGUAACUUUGUUUCAUUCACUGCUACAAUGCUCUUUUUAAGGAGGGUAUUGUCACAGGGGUGGACUCUGGUCACAGAGGUAACACAGAGACUGUAGUGCAUCCUACCUGCUUGCCGAGGCCCAGCGUUUACUAUCUUAUUGGGCAUUGUCUCAGGUUACUUCCAUUUGAGUUCUAGAGCGCUUCCCCAUCCACUUCCCAAGUCUGUUAAAAGACUAACUGUACUUUCAAAGGAGACAUGGUCAACAAAGAUGUCUUCACAGCCUCUGAGUUCUCAGCUUUCAUAGCAAUUAAAAAUCUAGAAGAAAAAUCCUUCACACAAUUGGUUUCAGACCAGAGAGAGCAGAGAUAAAAACAGAAAGAAGGAGAAAAAGAAAGGCACCGUGGAAAAGGUCUUCUACCACCUGAACUGAAACCUCUGAGUGGGAACUUGAGCCUCAGCCAUUCAGGCUCUUCAUGUGGACCUAGACAUGUCACCUGCUGGCUUCAAGAGGUGAGCUAAUAAUCAAGAUGAGCCAUUACUGUCAGCAUUCCUGAUCGUACAAAACUGUGGAGAAUGGUUAAUAAAGGAAAGAAAACUCUGGAUACCAGAGCAACAUAUGUGCAUCCAAACUAGAGCAAGAGGAAAUGAUUUGUGUAGCAGUCAAAGGAGGGAUCAGUGGAAGAUGAUGAAACAGACUAUAAAACAAAACAAAAUGGACCAUCUCCACCAGGAUAAAGAUGCAAUCAAGUGCUUUCUUUCAUCUGCCUGCUUUUCAGCCAGAGUGCCAGAGCAGCUGAACAUGCAGAGAACACAGAUCCUCAGACGUGGAGCUGGCUUCAUCAGCAAGCCUUCCUUCUGAGUAUACAGGGCCCAAGCUAAGGAAAGCUUCAUUGCCUCAAAGUUGUUAAUACUUUAGGAAAAAAGGAUGCGAAUUUUGCUUUUAUAUUUAUUCUACCAAAUUAUCUAGCCACUCUUCCUUGAGACCUUCGAAUCCCACCUUCACUGAAGGGCUCUCAUGCCAAUGAACACAAUCCCAGCAGACUUUGGAAUGCUGUGUUAGCAGAUAUCUCCUUUUCUUUUAUUUCAGUUAGCUCCAAAAUUAUGCAUAAUACAUGCUGCAUAUGAAUCUCUCGUAUGCAGGAAUGAAAGCGAUAUAGUAAAAAAGGACCUUGAUAUUUUUUCUUAAGUAGGAAAAAUAACAGCACCAUGGCCAAAAUCCAUAUGUUGAACACAAUAAUACUUUGGAGUGAUUUCCUUAGGGGAGAGUUUCAGAUUUCUGCUCAUGUGUAACUGUGAGUAGCAUCUGGAAUUCUCUGUUUUCUGAAAACACCCAGGUCUUUUUAAUGUGGAAAUGAGGUUGAGAAGCAGGGAAUUAUAAAGCUGCAGGAGGAAGUGGAUACUCCUGGCAAGUGUUACAUAGUGUCUUCAGCAAUCCUCUGAAUAGGUCUAUGUGAUUAACUCUGUAUUUCUUUGGUAGCUAGGGCUUUGAUAGAGUCAGUGCUCUAUCAAAUUUUAUUGAUAGAUGAGAGAUAAAAUAUGAUGUUAAUUUCUUCCUUAAAGGACAUUGAACAUACAAUCUGCCCCCAAAGGUUUUGGCUCUUUCAAAAAAGUUUGCCAAACACGGAACAAUUAUAAAGUGGAUUUUUAAAAGUCCUGUUUAUAAUAGCACUAAAUAAAUUUUACAAAAACUUCUAAGAAACUGUAUUAGAAAUGCUAGUUUUAAAAGGUUUGUCUUAUUUUUAUUUUAUGAGUGUGUGUGUGUGUGUGUGUGUGUGUGUGUGUGUGUGUGUUUGUGAAAGUACAUGUAAGAGCUAGAAGGCUGUCGACUGCCCUGGAGCUGGAGUUUCAGGCACUUGUGAGCCCCUGGACAUGGAUGUUGGAAAUGGAAUUUGUGUCCUCUGAAAGAGCAAGAAGCACUCUUAACCAGUGAGCCAUCUAUUCAAUCCCUGAAAACUGUAUUCAUGGGAAAUAUCUGUAUCUUCUGAGAGGGUCAAAAUAAAUAAAUCCACACAGUAUUCAUAUAUUUAAAGACGUCAUGAUGACAAUGGUCAACUCUCUCCAAAUUGGCCUUCAAUCUGCUCCCAGUUGAAAUCCAUACAGGCAUUUGCACAGAUUCACAAAGUGAUUCUACAUGCAACUAGUGUGGUCAAAGCACUACUAAAAAAAAUACUGAGGAAGAACAAAAGGCUGAAAGAGCUGCAUUUCCUAAUAUAAAGAUGUAUUAGAAGACUUUGCUGGUUAUAAGAGUGUAAUGAUGUCAAUAGGUUGGCUGAAUACAGUGAGAAAAGAGGAUAGUGCUCACAAAGAGGGCCAUGCUUGUACAUAUGACUAGAUGGGAAAGGACACAUUCCACAGAUAGAUUUAGAUUCACUGUGUACCAGAUAUGGAUACCUUCCAGACUUCAAAUUUAAAAACAAAACAAAACUUGAAAUGGACUGAAAUUAUCAUAAAACUAGCCAUGAAAGCUAAAACCCUUUCUAGAAGCUUCACAAUAUUGGGUUAGAAAAAAUUAUUUUCGAAAAUGUAAGUUAACCCCUGCCUCCACCCUAACCCAUCUCCCCGAAAGUAACAGCCUAAACAGGAAGCCAUGGAAGAGAACACUUAAAAAGUGUGAUAAGGAUGCUGAGGUUAGUUCUUCACUGUGGAUGGCUAGUGGUGGGGUGUGUGAGGGGACUGGAUUGGUUCUCUCUAUGGGGCACACCACUGAGAGCUUGAGUAUGCUCCAGCCAGUAUAGAGAACACAAAUUGGGCUUGUUUAUUUAUUUUUUAUUUUAUUUUAUUUUUAUCUUUUGAGGGGGUUCAAAAGGGUGGAGGGAGGAUAUGAAAGGCCUGGGAAAUGAGUGUGAUCAGGAUGCAUGAUGUGAAAUUCCCAAAGAAUCAAUAAAUGUAUUAUGUUGGAAAAAAGGAAAAAAGGAAGCUAAGAAAAUACUCACCAUGACAGAAAACCAUGAGCAAUUAGCUUAAUGAAAUAUGUUCUCAAUUGUUCUUCAGAAGAAAAAAAAAGAUAAGCCAAAGAUUGUGAAAAAAAAUUGUGUAUGAAGAAUGGUCAGAGGGUUGCUAUGCUGUGGAGAUUUGAAUGAGAAUCUUUCAUAGGCUUUCAUAGGCUCUGAUGAUGGAAAUUUGGCCCCUAGUAGAUGGUACUGUGUGGGGGAUGUUAUGGAACUUUUUGCACCUCAUUGUACAAAGUUCAUCACAGGGGUGGGCUGUGAAAGUUACAUAUCCUGCCUCCCCUUCCACUUUGUCCUCUGCUUCUUACUCACGGAUGGAAAUCUUGUAAUCAUCUGCGGAUAUUCUGCCCCUGCCAUUGUGGACUAUCCUCUCAGAACUAUAAGUCAAAAUAUACUCUUUCAUCUCUAAGAUGCUUUGGCUAUAUCCUUUUAUUGCAACCACAGAAGAGUGACUGUGAAGCAGUAAGCAACGCCCUCCAUAACCUCUGCAUCAGGUCCUGGCUCCAGUAUCCUGCCCUGUGUAAGUUCCUGUCCUGACUUUCUCAACAGUGCUAUGGAAUCAUACUCUGAACAAACCCUUUCUUCCCCAAGUCUCUUUGGUCAUGGUGUUUCAUCACAGUAACAGUAAGCAUAACUAUGGCAGUGUGUUUUAGGUACACUUACAUGUUUUAAGUUUGUGGUGAUUGUCAAAAUAGUGAUUUAAAACUAGCACAUAUCCUUAGGUUUUACCAAGAAAACA
Molecule: long non-coding RNA, 4135 nt
Organism: Mus musculus (house mouse)
Lineage: Eukaryota; Metazoa; Chordata; Mammalia; Rodentia; Muridae
Product: predicted gene, 53246
Exons: 3
Source: RefSeq, a predicted model, not a curated record